UUGACACCCUUAUAGCAACUAUGGAAAUGUGGUUUUCAGGAAAAGAUCUAAGAUUAGAUUUCAUUUAUUCAAGUAUGGAUUUUUUAAUAGUUACACCUUUUGGCUUUUACACGGGGAAAUAGAAGAUGAUUUAUUAGAAGUUGGUGAUGGUAAUGACCCUAACAAAGAGGAUGGACAUGACAAUAUAGUUGGCAUAUUACAUGAUGCAUAUGAAUUAAUGGAUAUGGAUGUAGAAUUCACUG
This 242-nucleotide long non-coding RNA is filed under the name Durio zibethinus. RNAcentral describes it as "long non-coding RNA (DZIB_LNC000439)". The record is from RNAcentral. Lineage: Eukaryota; Viridiplantae; Streptophyta; Magnoliopsida; Malvales; Malvaceae.